GCAUAUGAUUGUGUGGUUUGUUAUGGAAACCGUGGCAUGAAGAAGUUCAGUUCACAUACCCUUCGGUAUGAUAAUUCUAUGGGUGUGUGGUAAGAGUUGGUAGUUAUAAUUGAAAAAUUGAGCUUUAAAGAAGCUUACACAGUUUUGGAAAAAUUGGGAUGACUUGUUCUCCCUCUGAUGUAGAGAAAUUGGAGAUGAGUUCCGUUCUGCUUUGUACAAUAAUGUCAUGAUGGCUGUUCAUAUAUUUCCCUGGCUUUAAUUACGGCAACCACACUUCUCGAUUCCUUUGCGAAAGAUUAGCCGUGUUUAACAAAGUUCUUCAAGGCAUCACUUGAAUGUAAAAAUUUGAAUAUUUUCUUAGGUUGUAAUUUUCGAAAACAUUAUGUAUAAAUAUAAGUAGUUUUGAGCAUUUAUAAAUUGUAUUCAUUGUAGUAUUCUAAGAUUUGAACUCAGUCACUUAGAAAAGAAACUUAGAGCAUGACUAAGGUAGCAACAAAUUGAGGUUAGGUUCCAUUGAUUUGUAUGUACUUAUUUUUUAUGUCCAGGAAAAUGACGAUGAAACAUAAAACUUGAUUCUAAAGUAAGUUACAAUAUACAAUGCAUAAAGUCUUUUUUCUUUGAUAAAUGGAUGUCUAUCUAAUUGAAUUUUUAUAGAGUUAAUUUAGUUUUUUUUUAUGAUAUUUUAAUUACUAUCUCUGGUUUUAGAAGUCUCUUUAAUGACGGGUGAGAACUUAAGUCAAAUUAUAUUUCUAGAUUGUUGAUCAAUAAUUAAUAUAUAUUUAGAGAAAUUGGAGAUGAGUUACUUUCUAAUUUGUACAAUAAUGUCAUGAUGACCGUUCAUAUAUUUCCUAGUUGUUAAUUGCGGCAACCACACUUCUCAUUCCUUUGCAAAAGAUUAGCCAGUAAGAUUAUCAACCUCUUUCUUCAUGUAUUAUUUUUAUUUAUGUUCAUUGAUCGCCAGACAUACAAAUUGAAUUAUGAACCUAUUUUUCUGCAGUGUGCGAAGCAUAUUUUUCUUCUAAUAAAUUCAAUUCAUUUAAAUAUUUCUUUAUUGAUUUUGUCAGCAUAUUUUUCUUGAUUUUGGUUUAAUCUUUGUUGUUGCAGGUUCAAUUCCUUCUGGUUAUAUCUUUCGCUGGUUUGAUCUUCUUGUAUUUUAUUCUUAUUGUUUUCUAGUUGUUGAUUUUGGUUUCUUGAUUUUGGUUCUUGCUGGUUUCGAUAUGCGGCUAUUAUUUAGAUUUUAACGGUUUUUUCUUUUAUUGUUUUAAUGAUCUGUAGCUAUUAUUUAGAUUUUAAUUCACUGUUCUUCCCAGUACACUUUUACGUCAGUUAUUUGAAUAAUUUUCUUCGGUUGAUCAUGUCUAGUGAUAGUAGGCUGGACUUCUGAUGUUUGUAAGGUGUUGUAGAGAUGUUUUGCGAAACUAGAUGCAUGAUUAUCAAUUUUUAACUCGUGGUUAAAUAUAGUCAAUUUUAUUUCUUCAUUGAAAUUUAUUACUAUUUUGAUUUAAUUUCUGGCUUGAUUGCCACACAUUGAAUUGAAAUAUAGACCUGUUUUCUGCAGUGUUGUGUAUCAAUUCUCAAGUUUGUUUUGGCUGGGAUUGUGAAUUAUUUUCAUUUCUUUUCUGGAGUUAGAUUGUCUAGUUUAGUUGAUUACGUUACAGGUGAGAUACGUCUUUUGAUGUGGAGUGAGGGUUACAACUGAAAGGUUUUGGCUUAGGGUUUCUUUACCCAUCAAUGCCCAAUUUUCUUAACCAGAAUACGACUUUUUUUAUUUAUUUUUUGAAAUUUUGGUUUUCAAACCUGUAAUCUGGCAGUGCGGAAGUUCAUACUAUUAUGGAGAGAUUGAGAAAGAUUUGUGAGCCUUUCCUAUUAAAUGCUGCUCGACAACAUGGUGUGGAGAAUUAUGUUACUCUUUGUUUUUCUUGGGUUUUUUCACAAAUAGUCAAUGUAAUUUUACUGUACGUAUUUCAAAAAUAUUUUUCACAAAUAUUUUAGUUGUACAUAAAAAUGGUCAUUUUGUAUUUACAUAUCUAAUAUCUUAUUGUUUUGGGAUAUUUGUCUUUUGAUGGAGUGCCAUGGGGUUUCGGAUUUUUUGUGUUGCUGUUUCAGCAAGAUUCUAGAGUAUUGAAGCAUACAAGAUUCUCGAGUGUACCUUUUCACUCAUCGAGGACGUGGAAGUAAGAAUAACUUGGUUUUGCAUUUUUUUUGUUCUGAUGAUUUGCCACUUCCUUUGUUAUAAUGUUUUUUUGUGUUCUUUUCAAUUGUGAUACUUAAGAGUAAUGUUAAGAAUAAUAGCAUUAUCUCUAGUUGUACAAAACUCCUUCUGGUAUAGGGUAAAUACUAAUUUUGCAUUGGACAACUGGAAUCUACAAUUGGUACAUGAACUCCUUCUGGUAUAGGGGUAAAGCCUUAGAUAAUUUAAGACAUGCAUUGAUGAGAAUUGGUAUAUGUAAUUUUCAUGUUUCUUUGUCUUUCAAGAAUAAUUUAAGACAUGCAUUUAUGUGUUUUGUAGUGAGUUGAAGUUUAGAUAUCUAGAACGUUGAGCCUUGUUGGAUGGAUAAGAAAGGGAAACCCCUAGAUAAAUCAAAUUUCUUCAGAGUCAUUAUAAUUGUUAUUUCUGGAUGUAGAUCGCAAAUCAUACAAAUGAAUUGUGAACUUAUUUUUCUACAGUGUGGUUUGUCAAUAUGAUAACCUUCUUCGAAGUAUGGAACCUUGAGUUUUGAUUGAGUGAUCUCUAGUAUUAUCUUUUGAUUUUGCAGGGGUUGUAAUAUGCGAAACACAUAAUUCCUUCUGGUCGUAUCUUACUGGUUGAUAUUUUCAUUUUCCCUCUUUUCUCCCUGGUUAUUUUGGUUUCUUGGUUGAGGUUUUAUUUGGAGUUUGAUGUUCUCAUUUUAAUUAUAUGUGCUGCUAUUGUUGAGUUAUUAGAUCUUUGUUUGUUUGCUCUUCUAAUUAUUCUUUUACGUCAAUGUCAAUUGUGAUACACAAGAAUAAUCAAGGUAUGCUCUUAAAAAGGAAGACAAUUGUGAUUCUCAAUAGAUUGGAUAAGAUGGAGAACUGCUCCAGAUAUAAUAAUCAAAUUUCUUCAGUUAGUCGUUCUUCAUUUUUUAAUUUCUGGCUUGGAUCAGAAGAAAAAAGAUUAUAAUUGUGAGAAUAUUUUUCUGCAGCGCGAUUUGUGAAACUAAUAAUGUUCUACCUGGGGUGUGCUUUGAUGUUUGAUUUUUGGAUCUCUGUGCAAAAGUUUACAUGAUUCUUGAAAUUUUGGGAGAAAAAGCACGAAAAAAGAUAGAAGAGUAGCAUAAUUUUGCAAAUCAUGUUGCAUAUCAUCAGAACAAAUAAAUUGCCUAUGAUUGUGUGGUUUGCUAUGGAAACCGUGGCAUGAAGAAGUUCAUUUCACAGACCCUUCGCAAGAUUAUGUAGUAUUUGAAGCAUACAAGAUUCUAGAACCUUUGCCCUCUCGAAGGAUGUGGAAUUCAGGAUAACUUGGUUUGGCA
This is a non-coding RNA of Cicer arietinum (chickpea), 3488 nucleotides long. NCBI's taxonomy places the organism in Eukaryota, Viridiplantae, Streptophyta, Magnoliopsida, Fabales, Fabaceae. The record is from RefSeq and is a predicted model, not a curated record.